UACGUAGGUGGCGAGCGUUGUCCGGAUUUACUGGGCGUAAAGAGCGCGCAGGCGGCUGGUCAAGUCCGAUGUGAAAGCUCCCGGCUUAACUGGGAAAUUGCAUCGGAAACUGAUCGGCUUGAAUCCGGGAGAGGGAUGCGGAAUUCCAGGUGUAGCGGUGAAAUGCGUAGAUAUCUGGAGGAACACCGGUGGCGAAGGCGGCAUCCUGGACCGGCAUUGACGCUGAGGCGCGAAAGCCAGGGGAGCAAACGGG
RNAcentral lists this ribosomal RNA (253 nucleotides) under uncultured bacterium. Its description in RNAcentral is "partial 16S ribosomal RNA". It matches the Rfam family "Bacterial small subunit ribosomal RNA", at positions 524 to 776 of the family's 1533-position model. The record is from RNAcentral.